RNAcentral lists this ribosomal RNA (497 nucleotides) under uncultured bacterium. Its description in RNAcentral is "partial 16S ribosomal RNA". It matches the Rfam family "Bacterial small subunit ribosomal RNA", at positions 28 to 507 of the family's 1533-position model. The record is from RNAcentral.
GAUGAACGCUGGCGGCGUGCCUAAUACAUGCGAGUCGAGCGAACAGAUGAGGAGCUUGCUCCUCUGACGUUAGCGGCGGACGGGUGAGUAACACGUGGAUAACCUACCUAUAAGACUGGGAUAACUUCGGGAAACCGGAGCUAAUACCGGAUAAUAUAUUGAACCGCAUGGUUCAAUAGUGAAAGACGGUUUUGCUGUCACUUAUAGAUGGAUCCGCGCCGCAUUAGCUAGUUGGUAAGGUAACGGCUUACCAAGGCAACGAUGCGUAGCCGACCUGGGAGGGUGAUCGGCCACACUGGAACUGAGACACGGUCCAGACUCCUACGGGAGGCAGCAGUAGGGAAUCUUCCGCAAUGGGCGAAAGCCUGACGGAGCAACGCCGCGUGAGUGAUGAAGGUCUUCGGAUCGUAAAACUCUGUUAUUAGGGAAGAACAAAUGUGUAAGUAACUAUGCACGUCUUGACGGUACCUAAUCAGAAAGCCACGGCUAACUACGUG